AAUCGACGGGGACCUGCACAAGCGGUGGAUGAUGUGGUUUAAUUCGAUGCAACGCGAAAAACCUUUACCCACCUUUGACAUGUACGGAACUUGCCAGAGAUGGCUUGGUGCUCGAAAGAGAGCCGUAACACAGGUGCUGCAUGGCUGUCGUCAGCUCGUGUCGUGAGAUGUUGGGUUAAGUCCCGCAACGAGCGCAACCCUGGUCAUUAGUUGCUACGAAAGGGCACUCUAAUGAGACUGCCGGUGACAAACCGGAGGAAGGUGGGGAUGACGUCAAGUCCUCAUGGCCCUUAUAGGUGGGGCUACACACGUCAUACAAUGGCUGGUACAAAGGGUUGCCAACCCGCGAGGGGGAGCCAAUCCCACAAAGCCAGUCGUAGUCCGGAUCGCAGUCUGCAACUCGACUGCGUGAAGUCGGAAUCGCUAGUAAUCGUGGAUCAGCAUGUCACGGUGAAUACGUUCCCGGGUCUUGUACACACCGCCCGUCACACCAUGGGAGCGGGUUCUGCCAGAAGUAGUUAGCCUAACCGCAAGGGGGGCGAUUACCACGGCAGGGUUCGUGACUGGGGUGAAGUCGUAACAAGGUAACCA
Molecule: ribosomal RNA, 591 nt
Filed under: uncultured bacterium
Lineage: Bacteria
Description: bacterial SSU rRNA
Rfam family: Bacterial small subunit ribosomal RNA
Source: RNAcentral